Molecule: small RNA, 2724 nt
Filed under: Cryptococcus neoformans H99
Lineage: Eukaryota; Fungi; Basidiomycota; Tremellomycetes; Tremellales; Cryptococcaceae
Description: Cryptococcus neoformans var. grubii H99 hypothetical RNA
Source: RNAcentral
CGACGAUGCAUGCCUUUUCCUUUUUGUCAUAUCUUUACCACCACCUUUAAACCUGAAACAGCUACUUUUUACUGUACUGGUACUGUACAUAACACUCAUCUAUCUACAUUAGAGCCAUGGUCUAUACAUCUAUAUUGCCCACAAAAAAAUUAGAAAAAAGAAAAGAAUCAGAAUCGCGGUGCGUUGAUGAUGAUACCGGUCAAACACCCAGCAGCAGUGCCUGCAAUCUAUCACGUAGAGCAAUCCUAUCAGCGACCUCUACAGCUAUACGCGUAAGCUCCUCCACCAUACUUACAGGAACUGUCAGGACCCAGCCAAGGAAAAUCCAUCCAAACGCUCGCCAGUUAAUCGAUUUUACUGUUGCGCGUUUCAUCAGUAAUUACUUCCUUGUAACGGCUCGAGCGAAAACAAAACGCACUACCUCCCGAAACGAUACCGACACCAGCUGUAGAGCCUGUAAUACACAUAGUGGUGCUGACAGGGAUGCCAUCUGCGCGCAAAUAUUAGCAACUUAUCGCAUUCGUAUGAGUGAGGAAGCCUACAUUGAGAAGCCAGCAAGACAGUGAUGGACGAUCCCAGCUCCAUGGAGAAACCUCGAGAAGGAGAGUGCAUGGUCAGUCUGUUACCGAGCACGGACAUGAUAUUCUAUUCCGACCGUUAAUACAGGAGGAGUCCAUGUUGAUAGAAUUCACUCACAUAGCCAUAAGUAGCAAGACCAAGGACGAGUAUCAAGCCUCCAGCAACAAAAAUCCAAACUGGUGUUUCAGUCUCAGAAGGCGUGACUGUACCUGUGGACCACACAUAGUAAAUGGCUGCGAAAGGUCCAACACUGUUGUCUCGUCAGCCAUCUGUGAGAUUAGUUAAAUCGUUGUACGUACGCAUUGGCGAGGUCAUUAGAACCGUGGGCAAAGGAAUUUGUACACGCAGUCAAGACUUGGAGGAAAGAGUACAAAUGUUCAGUCUACGCCAAGGUGACGGUGGAGCAAUCAGUACGUCAAUUUUAUUGGGAAUGUCAAAGUAAACUUACUUCAUUGUCAUACUGGGCGGCGCGUUCAUACAUCUUCAUCAUCCUAUCGCUCUCCUUCCCCUUGCCCUUGUGGGAUUGCAUGGCAUGAAUAUCGACUGGUUCCCAUUAGCUAUAUCAGCCAAUUCCAAGAAAAUAUGCAACUUACCGGAUGUACCAUGCAACAACAUCUUAGGUAAUUUGUAUCUGAAUAGGAUCCACAGAUUCCUGGGUAGAAUAAUCGCUCCCUCAAUUUUAUGGUCGUCCUUCUCGAGGUCUUCCAAAGCGCUGGCAUACGAUUUGCCUUUGGAAAGACUCGGCAAUGGGGCAGACUCGAUAUCCUUAUCCUUCUCUUGGGAUGUGGCCGUCAGGUUGGUUUCGAGAGGAGCACCUUCACCGACGGUUGAACCUUCAGAGACUGGCUUUGCAGGAGUUUGCGUGGCGGGCUCUUUGUGCUCGUCAUCUCGAUCGUAAACUCGGUAGUCGGGGACGUGUCGCGCACCCUCGGGAGGAGGAGGAGGAGCGGCCCGACGCCAAAGAAGAGGACCGUAAAAGAAAUGAUACCAUCGAAGAGCUGAUAUGGUCAGCUGGAUGCUUGAUCUAAUUGAGAGAAGAAUUACUGUAGUCUUUCUUGAUGACCUUGGAAUACACAAAUGGCAACCAGAAGAUUACAGACAGGAAGGCAAUAACAACGCCAGUAAGUACGAUGGCAAGGGCGAUAGUGGUCUGAGGGAGCUUGUUAAGCUUAAGUUGAGGAGCACCUUUGUAGACUGCCGUUGCCCCACGAUUAGCUGCAUCCUUGUCCCCACAGAUCACAAUAACCCACCAAUGGACAUUGUCAAGAUUGCCGCCACUGUGAAAAAAUAAAUUGGAGAAACAUACAAUCCAGCCUUCAAAGGAUCCUUUCUCUUCAGCACAGCAUAUUUGGUGAUCAAGUAGACUGUUGCCCCAAACCCGGCAGAAAUGGCAGGAGCAAUCACGAAACCAGCAAAAAUAGUCGCAAUACCCUUUCCAUUAUUCCAGCCCCACUGUACCGCACCAGGUCCAUCAAGCGCGACACCCACACCUGCCAAAGCAGAGACAAUCGAGUAUGUUGUAGAUACCGGCCAUGCUUUUCUAGUGGCGAUCAUGAGCCAGGUAGCGGAAGCUGCAAGCGCGCAGACAAAGGCGAGAAGUUCGACACCGGGAUUAUUUCUGAACGUCGACAUCGAGAUGAUACCGUUCUUUAUGGUACCAGCCACUUGCGCACCUGCAAGGACACCUCCAAGGAAUUCACAAAUCGCGGCAAGCAUGGCGGCUUGUCGGAGAGUGAGCGAACGGGAGGAGAUUGAAGUAGCAAAUGAAUUAGCGACACUAGAGAUAAGUUGAUGAGGAUUUGAAACCUUUUGCGAGCAUACUGCAAGGACACUUACUCGUUGGCACCAAUAUUGUAGGCAUCCAAAGCAGCAACUGAAUCCAUGAACAGUUGAAUUAGUGGCAGAUUACUUUGUUGAAGCGGGUUCUGUCUUACAAAGAACACCAAAGGCGAAUAGAUAAUCCCAUUGGUGAAGAGCAGGCAUCGUAUCGAGCUACUGUCAGUCUGUAAAAUGCCUGAAAUUGGGGAAAAAGUAAGUGCUGUUAGAUUGAAGCAACGUAGAAAGAGUUGUCAGUUCUUUGGUCUUAUACAUUAUCCUCUUCCCGCUCCUAUCCUAGGCAAAGGACAGCAGCACGAACGUUUACAC